UGACUCCUGUUCUGUGUAUGGCACUGGUAGAAUUCACUGUGAACAGUCUCAGUCAGUGAAUUACCGAAGGGCCAUAAACAGAGCAGAGACA
MicroRNA precursor from Urocitellus parryii (Arctic ground squirrel), 91 nucleotides. Ensembl annotates it as microRNA 183. Its record names the gene MIR183. Lineage: Eukaryota; Metazoa; Chordata; Mammalia; Rodentia; Sciuridae. The record is from Ensembl.